Molecule: ribosomal RNA, 1797 nt
Filed under: Durio zibethinus
Lineage: Eukaryota; Viridiplantae; Streptophyta; Magnoliopsida; Malvales; Malvaceae
Description: SSU rRNA
Rfam family: Eukaryotic small subunit ribosomal RNA
Source: RNAcentral
CUUGGUUGAUCCUGCCAGUAGUCAUAUGCUUGUCUCAAAGAUUAAGCCAUGCAUGUGUAAGUAUGAACUAAUUCAGACUGUGAAACUAUGAAUGGCUCAUUAAAUCAGUUAUAGUUUGUUUAAUGGUAUCUACUACUCGGAUCACCAUAGUAAUUCUAGAGUUAAUACAUGCAACAAACCCAAACUUUUGGAAGGGAUUCAUUUAUUAGAUAACAGGUCGAUGCGGGCUACGCCUAUUGCUCUGAUGAUUCAUGAUAACUUGACGGAUCGCACGACCUUUGUACCGGUGAUGCAUCAUUCAAAUUUUUGCCCUAUAAACUUUCGAUGGUAGGAUAGUGGCCUAAUAUGGUGGUGACGGGUGAUGAAGAAUUAGGGUUCGAUUCCAAAGAGGGAGCCUGAGAAACGGCUACCACAUCUAAGGAAGGCAACAAGCAUGCAAAUUACCUAAUCCUAACACGGAAAGGUAGUAACAAUAAAUAACAAUAUCAAGCUCUAUGAGUCUAGUAAUUGGAAUGAAUACAAUCUAAAUCCCUUAACGAAGAUCCAUUGGAGGGCAAGUCUGGUGCCAGUAGCCACAAUAAUUCUAGCUCCAAUAGCGUAUAUUUAAGUUCUUACAGUUAAAAAGCUCAUAGUUGGAACUAGGGUUGGGUCAUCCAAUUCACCUCUCGGUGAGUACUGGUCUACUCGUCCCUACUGUCGGUGAUGUGCUCCUGGACUUAAUUGCUCGGGUUGCUCCUCCGACACUAUUCUUUGAAGAAAUUAGAGUGCACAAAGCAAGCCUACGCUUGUAUACAUUAGCAUGGGAUAACAUCAUAGGAUUUUGGUCCUAUUGUGUUAGCUUUCGAGAUCAGAGUAAUGAUUAACAGGGACAGUUGAGGGCAUUCGUAUUUCAUAGUUAGAGGUGAAAUUCUUGGAUUUAUGAAAGAUGAACAACUGCGAAAGCAUUUUCCGAGGAUGUUUUCAUUAAUCAAGAAGGAAAGUUGAGGGCUCGAAGAUGAUCAGAUACCAUCCUAGUCUCAACCAUAAACAAUGUCGACCAGGGAUCGACAGAUGUUACUUUUAGGACUCUGCAGGCACCUUAUGAGAAAUCAAAGUCUUUAGGUUCUGGGGGGAGUAUGGUCGCAAGGUUGAAACUUAAAGGAAUUGAUAGAAGAGCACCACCAGGAGUGGAGCCUACGACUUAAUUUCACUCCACACAGGGAAACUUACUAGGUCCAGACAUAGUAAGGAUUGACAAACUGAGAGCUCUUUCUUGAUUCUAUGGGUGGUGGUGUAUGGCCGUUCUUAGAUGGUGGAGUGAUUUGUUUGGUUAAUUUCGUUAACGAACGAGACCUUAGCCUGCUAACUAGCUAUGUGGAGGUGAUCCUUCAUGGCUAGCUUCUUAAAGGGACUAUGGCUACUUAGGCCAAAGAAGUUUGAGGCAAUAACAGGUUUGUGAUGCCCUUAAAUGUUCUAGGCCACACGUGUGCUACAGUGAUGUAUUUAAUGAGACUAUAGCCUUAGCUGACAGGCCUGAGUAAUCUUUAAAAUUUCAUCGUGAUGGGGAUAGAUCAUUGCAAUUGUUGGUUUUCAAUGAGGAAUUCCUAGUAUGCAUGAGUCAUUAGCUCACGUUGACUACGUCCCUGUCCUUUAUACACACCACCCGUCACUCCUACCGAUUGAAUGGUUCGAUGAAGUGCUCAGAUCACGGCGAUGUGGACGGUUUGCCGCCCACGACGUCACGAGAAGUUCAAUGAACCUUAUGAUUUAGAGGAAGGAGAAGUCAUAACAAGGUUUCCGUAGGUGAACCUGUGGAAG